UACGUAGGGGGCAAGCGUUGUCCGGAUUCAUUGGGCGUAAAGAGCGUGUAGGCGGCCAGGUAGGUCGGUUGUGAAAACUGGAGGCUCAACCUUCAGAGGUCGACCGAAACCAUCUGGCUAGAGUCCGGGAGAGGAGAGUGGAAUUCCUGGUGUAGCGGUGAAAUGCGCAGAUAUCGAGAAGAACACCCGUGGCGAAAGCGGCUCUCUGGAACGGUACUGACGCUGAGACGCGAAAGCGUGGGGAGCGAACAGG
This 253-nucleotide ribosomal RNA is filed under the name uncultured bacterium. Its description in RNAcentral is "partial 16S ribosomal RNA". It matches the Rfam family "Bacterial small subunit ribosomal RNA", at positions 524 to 776 of the family's 1533-position model. The record is from RNAcentral.